CCUCAACGACGGCGAACUCGGGCGGA
This 26-nucleotide small RNA is filed under the name Bombyx mori (domestic silkworm). RNAcentral describes it as "ovarian small RNA-13959". The record is from RNAcentral. Lineage: Eukaryota; Metazoa; Arthropoda; Insecta; Lepidoptera; Bombycidae.